Molecule: ribosomal RNA, 1569 nt
Filed under: Salmonella enterica subsp. enterica serovar Weltevreden
Lineage: Bacteria; Pseudomonadati; Pseudomonadota; Gammaproteobacteria; Enterobacterales; Enterobacteriaceae
Description: partial 23S ribosomal RNA
Rfam family: Bacterial large subunit ribosomal RNA
Source: RNAcentral
CUGGAGGUAUCAGAAGUGCGAAUGCUGACAUAAGUAACGAUAAAGCGGGUGAAAAGCCCGCUCGCCGGAAGACCAAGGGUUCCUGUCCAACGUUAAUCGGGGCAGGGUGAGUCGACCCCUAAGGCGAGGCCGAAAGGCGUAGUCGAUGGGAAACGGGUUAAUAUUCCCGUACUUGGUGUUACUGCGAAGGGGGGACGGAGAAGGCUAUGUUGGCCGGGCGACGGUUGUCCCGGUUUAAGCGUGUAGGUGUGUGUUCCAGGUAAAUCCGGUUCACUUUAACACUGAGGCGUGAUGACGAGGCACUACGGUGCUGAAGCAACAAAUGCCCUGCUUCCAGGAAAAGCCUCUAAGCAUCAGGUAACAUCAAAUCGUACCCCAAACCGACACAGGUGGUCAGGUAGAGAAUACCAAGGCGCUUGAGAGAACUCGGGUGAAGGAACUAGGCAAAAUGGUGCCGUAACUUCGGGAGAAGGCACGCUGACAUGUAGGUGAAGUGAUUUACUCAUGGAGCUGAAGUCAGUCGAAGAUACCAGCUGGCUGCAACUGUUUAUUAAAAACACAGCACUGUGCAAACACGAAAGUGGACGUAUACGGUGUGACGCCUGCCCGGUGCCGGAAGGUUAAUUGAUGGGGUCAGCGCAAGCGAAGCUCCUGAUCGAAGCCCCGGUAAACGGCGGCCGUAACUAUAACGGUCCUAAGGUAGCGAAAUUCCUUGUCGGGUAAGUUCCGACCUGCACGAAUGGCGUAAUGAUGGCCAGGCUGUCUCCACCCGAGACUCAGUGAAAUUGAACUCGCUGUGAAGAUGCAGUGUACCCGCGGCAAGACGGAAAGACCCCGUGAACCUUUACUAUAGCUUGACACUGAACAUUGAGCCUUGAUGUGUAGGAUAGGUGGGAGGCUUUGAAGUGUGGACGCCAGUCUGCAUGGAGCCGACCUUGAAAUACCACCCUUUAAUGUUUGAUGUUCUAACGUGGACCCGUGAUCCGGGUUGCGGACAGUGUCUGGUGGGUAGUUUGACUGGGGCGGUCUCCUCCUAAAGAGUAACGGAGGAGCACGAAGGUUGGCUAAUCCUGGUCGGACAUCAGGAGGUUAGUGCAAUGGCAUAAGCCAGCUUGACUGCGAGCGUGACGGCGCGAGCAGGUGCGAAAGCAGGUCAUAGUGAUCCGGUGGUUCUGAAUGGAAGGGCCAUCGCUCAACGGAUAAAAGGUACUCCGGGGAUAACAGGCUGAUACCGCCCAAGAGUUCAUAUCGACGGCGGUGUUUGGCACCUCGAUGUCGGCUCAUCACAUCCUGGGGCUGAAGUAGGUCCCAAGGGUAUGGCUGUUCGCCAUUUAAAGUGGUACGCGAGCUGGGUUUAGAACGUCGUGAGACAGUUCGGUCCCUAUCUGCCGUGGGCGCUGGAGAACUGAGGGGGGCUGCUCCUAGUACGAGAGGACCGGAGUGGACGCAUCACUGGUGUUCGGGUUGUCAUGCCAAUGGCACUGCCCGGUAGCUAAAUGCGGAAGAGAUAAGUGCUGAAAGCAUCUAAGCACGAAACUUGCCCCGAGAUGAGUUCUCCCUGAGACUUAG